GACGAACGCUGGCGGCGUGCCUAAUACAUGCAAGUCGAGCGAAUCAAUGGGAGCUUGCUCCCUGAGAUUAGCGGCGGACGGGUGAGUAACACGUGGGUAACCUGCCUGUAAGACUGGGAUAACUUCGGGAAACCGGAGCUAAUACCGGAUAAUUUCUUUUCUCGCAUGAGGAAAGAUGGAAAGAUGGUUCUGCUAUCACUUACAGAUGGACCCGCGGCGCAUUAGCUAGUUGGUGAGGUAACGGCUCACCAAGGCGACGAUGCGUAGCCGACCUGAGAGGGUGAUCGGCCACACUGGGACUGAGACACGGCCCAGACUCCUACGGGAGGCAGCAGUAGGGAAUCUUCCGCAAUGGACGAAAGUCUGACGGAGCAACGCCGCGUGAGCGAAGAAGGCCUUCGGGUCGUAAAGCUCUGUUGUUAGGGAAGAACAAGUAUCGGAGUAACUGCCGGUACCUUGACGGUACCUAACCAGAAAGCCACGGCUAACUACGUGCCAGCAGCCGCAGUAAUAC
This 514-nucleotide ribosomal RNA is filed under the name uncultured bacterium. RNAcentral's name for it is "bacterial SSU rRNA". It matches the Rfam family "Bacterial small subunit ribosomal RNA", at positions 28 to 526 of the family's 1533-position model. The record is from RNAcentral.